Molecule: unclassified non-coding RNA, 329 nt
Filed under: soil metagenome
Description: partial contains 5.8S ribosomal RNA, internal transcribed spacer 2, and large subunit ribosomal RNA
Rfam family: 5.8S ribosomal RNA (bases 1-120)
Source: RNAcentral
GAUGAAGAACGUAGCGAAAUGAGAUAAGUAGUGUGAAUUGCAGAAUUCAGUGAAUCAUCGAAUCUUUGAACGCACAUUGCGCCCCUUGGUAUCCCGAGGGGCAUGCCUGUUCGAGCGUCAUUUCACCACUCAAGCCUGGCUUGGUGUUGGGCGACGUCCUCUUUGGGGACGCGCCUCGAAACGCUCGGCGGCGUGGCACCGGCUUUAAGCGUAGCAGAAUCUUUCGCUUUGGAAGUCGGGGCCCCGUCUGCCGGAAGACCUGCUCGCAAGGUUGACCUCGGAUCAGGCAGGGAUACCCGCUGAACUUAAGCAUAUCAAUAAGCGGAGGA